Mustela lutreola (European mink) is the source of this 382-nucleotide long non-coding RNA. RefSeq lists it as uncharacterized. The transcript has 2 exons. NCBI's taxonomy places the organism in Eukaryota, Metazoa, Chordata, Mammalia, Carnivora, Mustelidae. The record is from RefSeq and is a predicted model, not a curated record.
AGCGCGCCUCGGGAAGGGGCAGGUAUGUGGGAGGCGGGUGGCUGAGAACCCCUCUUUUGGAAUUUAAGGCGAUUCGUGUCCAGGAACCUUCCGCGGUGGCAGGGAAUUAGGAAUCCUGAUAAAGUGCGCGGGGGCAGAAUCCCGAAGCCCGGUGUUCUCUAGCCACAAUUAUCCUGAUCAUUUCUGGGCUGGACUGGGAUGUUGUCUCCUCCGCCUCUGAGCCUUUGCACACAGAAAUGUGCAUUCGUUUGUGAAACUCAACCCUGAUUUCUAACAAACAUCAGAUUUAAGAAGACGGAGACUCAGGAGAAGCUCCAGAUCCAAGAUCGGGAGGACCCACGUUGCCACUACUCUGAAAUAAAUUUUACUAAUCUUCCUACAA